This 20-nucleotide microRNA is filed under the name Gallus gallus (chicken). RNAcentral's name for it is "gga-miR-1787". Lineage: Eukaryota; Metazoa; Chordata; Aves; Galliformes; Phasianidae. The record is from miRBase by way of RNAcentral.
UGUUGUUUACGGAAGGGGGA